RNAcentral lists this ribosomal RNA (879 nucleotides) under uncultured bacterium. Its description in RNAcentral is "bacterial SSU rRNA". It matches the Rfam family "Bacterial small subunit ribosomal RNA", at positions 8 to 916 of the family's 1533-position model. The record is from RNAcentral.
AGAGUUUGAUCAUGGCUCAGGAUGAACGCUGGCGGCGUGCCUAACACAUGCAAGUCGAGCGAUUCUCUUCGGAGAAGAGCGGCGGACGGGUGAGUAACGCGUGGGUAACCUGCCCUGUACACACGGAUAACAUACCGAAAGGUAUGCUAAUACGGGAUAACAUAAGAAAUUCGCAUGUUUUUCUUAUCAAAGCUCCGGCGGUACAGGAUGGACCCGCGUCUGAUUAGCUAGUUGGUGAGGUAACGGCUCACCAAGGCGACGAUCAGUAGCCGACCUGAGAGGGUGAUCGGCCACAUUGGAACUGAGACACGGUCCAGACUCCUACGGGAGGCAGCAGUGGGGAAUAUUGCACAAUGGGCGAAAGCCUGAUGCAGCAACGCCGCGUGAGCGAUGAAGGCCUUCGGGUCGUAAAGCUCUGUCCUCAAGGAAGAUAAUGACGGUACUUGAGGAGGAAGCCCCGGCUAACUACGUGCCAGCAGCCGCGGUAAUACGUAGGGGGCUAGCGUUAUCCGGAUUUACUGGGCGUAAAGGGUGCGUAGGCGGUCUUUUAAGUCAGAAGUGAAAGGCUACGGCUUAACCGUAGUAAGCUUUUGAAACUGGAGGACUUGAGUGCAGGAGAGGAGAGUGGAAUUCCUAGUGUAGCGGUGAAAUGCGUAGAUAUUAGGAGGAACACCAGUAGCGAAGGCGGCUCUCUGGACUGUAACUGACGCUGAGGCACGAAAGCGUGGGGAGCAAACAGGAUUAGAUACCCUGGUAGUCCACGCCGUAAACGAUGAGUACUAGCUGUCGGAGGUUACCCCCUUCGGUGGCGCAGCUAACGCAUUAAGUACUCCGCCUGGGGAGUACGCUCGCAAGAGUGAAACUCAAAGGAAUUGACGG